GAUGAACGCUGGCGGCGUGCCUAAUACAUGCAAGUCGAGCGAACAGAUGAGGAGCUUGCUCCUCUGACGUUAGCGGCGGACGGGUGAGUAACACGUGGAUAACCUACCUAUAAGACUGGGAUAACUUCGGGAAACCGGAGCUAAUACCGGAUAAUAUAUUGAACCGCAUGGUUCAAUAGUGAAAGACGGUUUUGCUGUCACUUAUAGAUGGAUCCGCGCCGCAUUAGCUAGUUGGUAAGGUAACGGCUUACCAAGGCGACGAUGCGUAGCCGCCCUGAGAGGGUGAUCGGCCACACUGGAACUGAGACACGGUCCAGACUCCUACGGGAGGCAGCAGUAGGGAAUCUUCCGCAAUGGGCGAAAGCUUGACGGAGCAACGCCGCGUGAGUGAUGAAGGUCUUCGGAUCGUAAAACUCUGUUAUUAGGGAAGAACAAAUGUGUAAGUAACUAUGCACGUCUUGACGGUACCUAAUCAGAAAGCCACGGCUAACUACGUG
This 497-nucleotide ribosomal RNA is filed under the name uncultured bacterium. RNAcentral describes it as "partial 16S ribosomal RNA". It matches the Rfam family "Bacterial small subunit ribosomal RNA", at positions 28 to 507 of the family's 1533-position model. The record is from RNAcentral.